Molecule: ribosomal RNA, 415 nt
Filed under: uncultured bacterium
Lineage: Bacteria
Description: bacterial SSU rRNA
Rfam family: Bacterial small subunit ribosomal RNA
Source: RNAcentral
UGCAAGUCGAGCGGAUGAAGGGAGCUUGCUCCCGGAUUCAGCGGCGGACGGGUGAGUAACACGUGGGCAACCUGCCUGUAAGACUGGGAUAACGCCGGGAAACCGGGGCUAAUACCAGAUAGUUUUUUCCUCCGCAUGGAGGAAAAAGGAAAGGCGGCUUCGGCUGCCACUUACAGAUGGGCCCGCGGCGCAUUAGCUAGUUGGCGGGGUGACGGCCCACCAAGGCAACGAUGCGUAGCCGACCUGAGAGGGUGAUCGGCCACAUUGGGACUGAGACACGGCCCAAACUCCUACGGGAGGCAGCAGUAGGGAAUCUUCCGCAAUGGACGAAAGUCUGACGGAGCAUCGCCGCGUGAGUGAAGAAUGCCUUCGGGUCGUAAAACUCUGUUGCCGGGGAAGAACAAGUGCCGUUCGA